CUGCGAAUGGCUCAUUAUAUAAGUUAUCGUUUAUUUGAUAGUACCUUACUACUUGGAUAACCGUGGUAAUUCUAGAGCUAAUACAUGCUGCAAACCCCGACUCCGGAAGGGGCGUAUUUAUUAGAUCCAAAGCCAACGCCCCUCUGGGGCUCCUUGGUGAUUCAUGAUAACUCUUCGAAUCGCACGGCCUUGCGCCGGCGAUGGUUCAUUCAAAUUUCUUCCCUAUCAACUUUCGAUGUUUGGGUAUAGGCCAAACAUGGUCGCAACGGGUAACGGAGGGUUAGGGCUCGACCCCGGAGAAGGAGCCUGAGAGACGGCUACUACAUCCAAGGAAGGCAGCAGGCGCGCAAAUUACCCAAUCCCGACACGGGGAGGUAGUGACAAUAAAUACUGAUACAGGGCUCUUUAGGGUCUUGUAAUUGGAAUGAGUACAGUUUAAACCCCUUAGCGAGGAACAAUUGGAGGGCAAGUCUGGUGCCAGCAGCCGCGGUAAUUCCAGCUCCAAUAGCGUAUAUUAAAGUUGUUGUGGUUAAAAAGCUCGUAGUUGAACCUUGGGCCUGGCUGGCCGGUCCGCCUCACCGCGUGCACUGGUCCGGCCGGGCCUUUCCCUCUGCGGAACCCCAUGCCCUUCGCUGGGCGUGGCGGGGAGGCAGGACGUUUACUUUGAAAAAAUUAGAGUGCUCCAGGCAGGCCUAUGCUCGGAUACAUUAGCAUGGAAUAAUGAAACAGGACGCGCGGUUCCGUUUCGUUGGCUCUAGGGACCGCCGUAAUGAUCGAUAGGGACAGUCGGGGGCAUCAGUAUUCAGCUGUCAGAGGUGAAAUUCUUGGAUUUGCUGAAGACUAACUACUGCGAAAGCAUUUGCCAAGGAUGUUUUCAUUAAUCAGGAACGAAAGUUAGGGGAUCGAAGACGAUCAGAUACCGUCGUAGUCCUAACCAUAAACUAUGCCGACUAGGGAUCGGACGAUGUUGUCUCUUGACUCGUUCGGCACCUUGCGAGAAAUCAAA
This 1006-nucleotide ribosomal RNA is filed under the name Gibellula sp. RNAcentral's name for it is "SSU rRNA". It matches the Rfam family "Eukaryotic small subunit ribosomal RNA", at positions 87 to 1102 of the family's 1831-position model. Lineage: Eukaryota; Fungi; Ascomycota; Sordariomycetes; Hypocreales; Cordycipitaceae. The record is from RNAcentral.